CCUACGGGAGGCUGCAGUGAGGAAUAUUGGUCAAUGGACGCAAGUCUGAACCAGCCAUGCCGCGUGCAGGAAGACGGCUCUAUGAGUUGUAAACUGCUUUUGUACGAGGGUAAACGCAGAUACGCGUAUCUGUCUGAAAGUAUCGUACGAAUAAGGAUCGGCUAACUCCGUGCCAGCAGCCGCGGUAAUACGGAGGAUUCAAGCGUUAUCCGGAUUUAUUGGGUUUAAAGGGUGCGUAGGCGGUCGGAUAAGUUAGAGGUGAAAUCCCGAGGCUCAACUUCGGAAUUGCCUCUGAUACUGGUCGGCUAGAGAGUAGGCGUGGUAGGCGGAAUGUAUGGUGUAGCGGUGAAAUGCUUAGAGAUCACACAGAACACCGAUUGCGAAGGCAGCGUACCA
Molecule: ribosomal RNA, 396 nt
Filed under: uncultured bacterium
Lineage: Bacteria
Description: partial 16S ribosomal RNA
Rfam family: Bacterial small subunit ribosomal RNA
Source: RNAcentral